This 250-nucleotide ribosomal RNA is filed under the name uncultured bacterium. Its description in RNAcentral is "partial 16S ribosomal RNA". The record is from RNAcentral.
GACAGAAGGAGCAAGCGUUAUUUUUCAUAAAUGGGUGUAAAAUGUGUGUAGGCCAAAAUAAACUUUUUUAAAAAAUUUUUACUUUGUAAAAAGUUCAGUUUUAAGUUUAUUACGAUUAAUUUUAUAUAAAUUCUAACAAUUUUUCUGACCAAAAGUAAAAUUUGCUCGAGAUUGAAAGGAAUGCCAAUUGUGAAAACAAAAUUUUAGGUAAAAUUGUAGCUGAGACACGGAAACUUGGGGAGCAAAAAGG